Molecule: non-coding RNA, 363 nt
Organism: Myodes glareolus (Bank vole)
Lineage: Eukaryota; Metazoa; Chordata; Mammalia; Rodentia; Cricetidae
Source: RefSeq, a predicted model, not a curated record
GCCAUGGAUCUUCUGCCUGAGGCGGACACUGGUUAGAAUCUUGCCGGAUAUGCAAGCUGAGUAAUUGUUGGGAUGGUUCUGAUGGAGCUUUGAUCGUUCGAGUGCCUGCUGUGAUUCCUCUGCCGGUGCUGGUGUCUCAAGAACAUCAGGAGAUCAUCCUUUAUCGACAGCGGGUGAACAGCUGCAAUUGUUGCUGCUAUUGCUGUCACUGCCACUGUGGCUACGGUUGCUGGAGUUGCCAUUUCACAAACAACUGUGACUAUAGAGACUGUGAAUCAACUGUCUAGAAGGGUUAGCAAGUCCCUGCAGACACAGAGUGCUCUGGACUCUCAUAUUGGACUUGGACUUUUAAAUUUAAAUCAA